GACGAACGCUGGCGGCGUGCUUAACACAUGCAAGUUGAGCGCUGAAGGUUGGUACUUGUACCGACCGGGUGAGCCGCGAACGGGUGAGUAACGUGUGGGGCAUCUGCCUUUCAGCGGGGGACAACCAUUGGACACGAAUGCUAAUCCCACAUAAACACUUUCAACACAGGUUUUAAUUUUGAAAGAUGCAAUUGCAUCACUCACACAUGAUCCCGCGUUGUAUUAGCUAGUUGGUGAGGUAAAGGCUCACCAAGGCGAGGACACCUAGCCGACCUGAGAGGAUGAUCGGCCACAUUGGGACUGAGACACGGCCCAAACUCCUACGGGAGGCAGCAGGAGGGAAUCGUCGGCAAGGGACGAGAGUCUGACCGAGAAACGCGGCGUGAGUGAAGAAGGUUUUCGGAUCGUAGAUGUCUGUUGGUAGAGAAGAACGUGGGUUAGAGUGGAAAGCACAUCAAGUGACGGUAACUGCCCAAAAAGCAACGGCUAACUACGUG
This 497-nucleotide ribosomal RNA is filed under the name uncultured bacterium. RNAcentral describes it as "partial 16S ribosomal RNA". It matches the Rfam family "Bacterial small subunit ribosomal RNA", at positions 28 to 507 of the family's 1533-position model. The record is from RNAcentral.